CAGACGGGUGAGUAACACGUGGUCAACCUUCCCUACAGUGGGGAUAACUAGCCGAAAGGUUAGCUAAUACCGCAUAACAUCUACGAACGGCAUCGUUUGUAGAUCAAAGGAGCAAUCCGCUGAAGGACGGGACCGCGUCCCAUUAGUUAGUUGGUGGGGUAAUGGCCUACCAAGACUCCGAUGGGUAGCUGGUUUGAGAGAGCGACCAGCCACACUGGGACUGAGAAACGGCCCAG
Molecule: ribosomal RNA, 236 nt
Filed under: uncultured bacterium
Lineage: Bacteria
Description: partial 16S ribosomal RNA
Rfam family: Bacterial small subunit ribosomal RNA
Source: RNAcentral